GAUGAACGCUGGCGGCGUGCCUAAUACAUGCAAGUCGAGCGAACAGACGAGGAGCUUGCUCCUCUGAUGUUAGCGGCGGACGGGUGAGUAACACGUGGAUAACCUACCUAUAAGACUGGGAUAACUUCGGGAAACCGGAGCUAAUACCGGAUAACAUGUUGAACCGCAUGGUUCAACAGUGAAAGACGGUCUUGCUGUCACUUAUAGAGGGAUCCGGGCCGCAUGAGCUAGUUGGUAAGGUAACGGCCUACCGAGGCAACGAUGCGUAGCCGACCUGAGAGGGUGAUCGGCCACACUGGAACUGAGACACGGUCCAGACGCCUACGGGAGGCAGCAGUAGGGAAUCGUCCGCAGUGGGCGAAAGCCUGACGGAGCAACGCCGAGUGAGUGAAGAAGGUCUUCGGAUCGUAAAACUCUGUUAUUAGGGAAGAACAAAUGUGUAAGUAACUAUGCACGUCUUGACGGUACCUAAUCAGAAAGCCACGGCUAACUACGUG
Molecule: ribosomal RNA, 497 nt
Filed under: uncultured bacterium
Lineage: Bacteria
Description: partial 16S ribosomal RNA
Rfam family: Bacterial small subunit ribosomal RNA
Source: RNAcentral